This 186-nucleotide unclassified non-coding RNA is filed under the name uncultured Mortierellales. RNAcentral describes it as "sequence contains ITS1". Lineage: Eukaryota; Fungi; Mortierellomycota; Mortierellomycetes; Mortierellales. The record is from RNAcentral.
UAAUUGCAGAGUGAAUUUAUGGCACUUUACAAAAAAAAAUCCAUAUCCACCUUGUGUGCAACGUUUGUGUCUCCUUAUCAACUGCCGCUACUUUGAAAGAGGUAACGGUUUAUUGUCUGGAGACAUUCUCAUCAACUAUUUUUUUAACAAGAAUCGUCUUAAGAAACAGUUUUUAAAAUUAAAAAA